Molecule: long non-coding RNA, 503 nt
Organism: Salvia miltiorrhiza (redroot sage)
Lineage: Eukaryota; Viridiplantae; Streptophyta; Magnoliopsida; Lamiales; Lamiaceae
Exons: 2
Source: RefSeq, a predicted model, not a curated record
UUCCACUCCACUAAUUCCACUACACCAAACUUUCCACCUACUCCCUUCCCCACCACACGCAAGAAUGCAUCUAACAUUCCAUUAUACAGGCAACAAUCUUUUCAUCAUCUUCAUUCUUCACUAAGGAACCGAAGAGCAGCCACGAGUUCUGCCAUAAGUACACUGCUCCGGCAGUGUUUUGCAAGGCGAUUCCAGCCAUCCAAAAGGUCCGGGCGACAGAAAGUGAAGCCGAAGAAGAAACGACUCCACGCCAGCUUUAAGAACAAUUGAGGUUGAGCUGUGAUGGGCGAUGAAGUGUUGCUGAGUGGAGUUUUUGUCGAACUUAAAGUAGGCUCAGAAAGGAUACAUGUCUUCAUACAUGUAUCACAGUUAUGCUUUCCGCUGUAAACACUGAUUAUUUCAGUUACGCCUUCCGUUGCAAACUCUGAUAAUGUUUUAGCCAAGCCCCUAAUGAUGCCUUUUUCCUUUUAAGGAAUAUAACGCGUAUACAAGUUCUUUGAGUA